UUGCAGCCUUUGGAGCCAUCCGAAGGCAGUGCCUGCACCUUGUGAUCUCCUCGGCUGAAUGAAUGUGUCAGGCUGGGUGCUUUCAAACCCAGCCCCAGUUCCAACACAGCCCUCCUGUGUGCCUGGGUACCGUUAGAUCCUUCCUCCCUCAGCCUCCCCAUCCCUAUCACAGAUGCAGCUUUUAGCAUGAGGUAGCUUUUUUCCACAGACUCUUUUAUUUUGGUUAAAGAAGAAGGAAGUCUUCACAAAUUAGAAGAGUUGGGAAGAGAAAGACAGGUGAAUCCUGCCUGGGUGCCAUUCUUUCUGUUUCGUUUAAUGUCAGGAAUAAGAAGAAAA
This 336-nucleotide long non-coding RNA is filed under the name Cyanistes caeruleus (blue tit). RNAcentral describes it as "lncRNA (ENSCCEG00000021250.1)". Lineage: Eukaryota; Metazoa; Chordata; Aves; Passeriformes; Paridae. The record is from RNAcentral.